This 373-nucleotide ribosomal RNA is filed under the name uncultured organism. Its description in RNAcentral is "partial 16S ribosomal RNA". It matches the Rfam family "Bacterial small subunit ribosomal RNA", at positions 528 to 896 of the family's 1533-position model. The record is from RNAcentral.
GGGGGGGCAAGCGUUUGUUCGGAAUUACUGGGCGUAAAGGGCGCGCAGGCGGCCCGGCCAGUCCUACGUGAAAUCCCACAGCUCAACUGUGGAACUGCGUGGGAUACUGCCAGGCUUGAGUCCGGGAGAGGAGAGUGGAAUUCCCAGUGUAGCGGUGAAAUGCGUAGAUAUUGGGAGGAACACCGGUGGCGAAGGCGGCUCUCUGGACCGGCACUGACGCUGAGGCGCGAAAGCUAGGGGAGCAAACGGGGAUUAGAUACCCCGGUAGUCCUAGCCCUAAACGAUGAGCACUUUGUGUGGCGGGUAUCGACCCCCUGCCGUGCAGAAGCUAACGCAUUAAGUGCUCCGCCUGGGGAGUACGGUCGCAAGGCUG